Molecule: transfer RNA, 61 nt
Filed under: Paridea transversofasciata
Lineage: Eukaryota; Metazoa; Arthropoda; Insecta; Coleoptera; Chrysomelidae
Description: tRNA-Cys
Source: RNAcentral
AGUCUUAUAGUCAAUUAUGAUUUUAAAUUGCAAAUUUAAAGGUAAAUUAGUUUUAAGGCUU